RNAcentral lists this long non-coding RNA (306 nucleotides) under Homo sapiens (human). RNAcentral describes it as "non-protein coding lnc-TBP-9:1". Lineage: Eukaryota; Metazoa; Chordata; Mammalia; Primates; Hominidae. The record is from RNAcentral.
CGCCUGCGCGCCGCGUCCGCUGUCCGCGCCUGCGCGCCUCUCUCCCCGCCCAACCCACGACGCGGGCGCUCCUCACUCUCGCAACGGUCACGCAGACCCCGCCUCUGCGAACCCGGCCAAGUCCCGAGCGGAAGCGCCUUGAGCGGAAGCGGAAGUGAACGAGGCGGCUGUGGCGGUGGCUGAGGCGGCUGGGCCUAGGGUGCAGCGGGCGCGUCUGCGGCUGGUGUUGGCGCAUCUCUAGGUAGGGCAAUCACACUAUGAAGCCCAGUUUCCACUUCAAAAACUCAAAUACCUUGGCUAUGUUUC